UCUUAUAAGUCUAGUGGUUACGAUUCCUGGUUUUCAUCCAGGUGGCCUGGGUUUGACUCCCAGUGUGGGAA
This 71-nucleotide transfer RNA is filed under the name Bos taurus (domestic cattle). It matches the Rfam family "tRNA". From Rfam's summary of the family: Transfer RNA (tRNA) molecules are approximately 80 nucleotides in length. The record is from Rfam by way of RNAcentral. RNAcentral also lists the same sequence under 5 other names. Lineage: Eukaryota; Metazoa; Chordata; Mammalia; Artiodactyla; Bovidae.